GAUGAACGCUGGCGGCGUGCCUAAUACAUGCAAGUCGAGCGAACAGACGAGGAGCUUGCUCCUCUGACGUUAGCGGCGGACGGGUGAGUAACACGUGGAUAACCUACCUAUAAGACUGGGAUAACUUCGGGAAACCGGAGCUACUACCGGAUAAUAUAUUGAACCGCAUGGUUCAAUAGUGAAAGACGGUUUUGCUGUCACUUAUAGAUGGAUCCGCGCCGCAUUAGCUAGUUGGUAAGGUGACGGCUUACCAAGGCAACGAUGCGUAGCCGACCUGAGAGGGUGAUCGGCCACACUGGAACUGAGACACGGUCCAGACUCCUACGGGAGGCAGCAGUAGGGAAUCUUCCGCAAUGGGCGAAAGCCUGACGGAGCAACGCCGCGUGAGUGAUGAAGGUCUUCGGAUCGUAAAACUCUGCUAUUAGGGAAGAACAAAUGUGUAAGUAACUAUGCACGUCUUGACGGUACCUAAUCAGAAAGCCACGGCUAACUACGUG
RNAcentral lists this ribosomal RNA (497 nucleotides) under uncultured bacterium. RNAcentral describes it as "partial 16S ribosomal RNA". It matches the Rfam family "Bacterial small subunit ribosomal RNA", at positions 28 to 507 of the family's 1533-position model. The record is from RNAcentral.